UACGAAGGGGGCUAGCGUUGCUCGGAAUCACUGGGCGUAAAGCGCACGUAGGCGGAUUUAUAAGUCAGGGGUGAAAUCCUGGAGCUCAACUCCAGAACUGCCUUUGAUACUGGGAAUCUCGAGUCCGGGAGAGGUGAGUGGAACUGCGAGUGUAGAGGUGAAAUUCGUAGAUAUUCGCAAGAACACCAGUGGCGAAGGCGGCUCACUGGCCCGGUACUGACGCUGAGGUGCGAAAGCGUGGGGAGCAAACAGG
RNAcentral lists this ribosomal RNA (253 nucleotides) under uncultured bacterium. Its description in RNAcentral is "partial 16S ribosomal RNA". It matches the Rfam family "Bacterial small subunit ribosomal RNA", at positions 524 to 776 of the family's 1533-position model. The record is from RNAcentral.